Molecule: transfer RNA, 72 nt
Filed under: Cricetulus griseus (Chinese hamster)
Lineage: Eukaryota; Metazoa; Chordata; Mammalia; Rodentia; Cricetidae
Rfam family: tRNA
About the family: Transfer RNA (tRNA) molecules are approximately 80 nucleotides in length. Their secondary structure includes four short double-helical elements and three loops (D, anti-codon, and T loops). Further hydrogen bonds mediate the characteristic L-shaped molecular structure. tRNAs have two regions of fundamental functional importance: the anti-codon, which is responsible for specific mRNA codon recognition, and the 3' end, to which the tRNAs corresponding amino acid is attached (by aminoacyl-tRNA synthetases). tRNAs cope with the degeneracy of the genetic code in two manners: having more than one tRNA (with a specific anti-codon) for a particular amino acid; and 'wobble' base-pairing, i.e. permitting non-standard base-pairing at the 3rd anti-codon position.
Source: Rfam by way of RNAcentral
GGCUGGCUAGCUCAGUCAGUAGAGCACGAGACUCUUAAUCUCAGGGUGGUGGGUUCCUGCCCCACACAGCUG